RNAcentral lists this ribosomal RNA (1277 nucleotides) under Escherichia coli O157:H7 str. 1044. RNAcentral's name for it is "LSU rRNA". It matches the Rfam family "Bacterial large subunit ribosomal RNA", at positions 1 to 1318 of the family's 2925-position model. The record is from RNAcentral. Lineage: Bacteria; Pseudomonadati; Pseudomonadota; Gammaproteobacteria; Enterobacterales; Enterobacteriaceae.
GGUUAAGCGACUAAGCGUACACGGUGGAUGCCCUGGCAGUCAGAGGCGAUGAAGGACGUGCUAAUCUGCGAUAAGCGUCGGUAAGGUGAUAUGAACCGUUAUAACCGGCGAUUUCCGAAUGGGGAAACCCAGUGUGAUUCGUCACACUAUCAUUAACUGAAUCCAUAGGUUAAUGAGGCGAACCGGGGGAACUGAAACAUCUAAGUACCCCGAGGAAAAGAAAUCAACCGAGAUUCCCCCAGUAGCGGCGAGCGAACGGGGAGGAGCCCAGAGCCUGAAUCAGUGUGUGUGUUAGUGGAAGCGUCUGGAAAGGCGCGCGAUACAGGGUGACAGCCCCGUACACAAAAAUGCACAUACUGUGAGCUCGAUGAGUAGGGCGGGACACGUGGUAUCCUGUCUGAAUAUGGGGGGACCAUCCUCCAAGGCUAAAUACUCCUGACUGACCGAUAGUGAACCAGUACCGUGAGGGAAAGGCGAAAAGAACCCCGGCGAGGGGAGUGAAAAAGAACCUGAAACCGUGUACGUACAAGCAGUGGGAGCCUCUUUUAUGGGGUGACUGCGUACCUUUUGUAUAAUGGGUCAGCGACUUAUAUUCUGUAGCAAGGUUAACCGAAUAGGGGAGCCGAAGGGAAACCGAGUCUUAACCGGGCGUUAAGUUGCAGGGUAUAGACCCGAAACCCGGUGAUCUAGCCAUGGGCAGGUUGAAGGUUGGGUAACACUAACUGGAGGACCGAACCGACUAAUGUUGAAAAAUUAGCGGAUGACUUGUGGCUGGGGGUGAAAGGCCAAUCAAACCGGGAGAUAGCUGGUUCUCCCCGAAAGCUAUUUAGGUAGCGCCUCGUGAAUUCAUCUCCGGGGGUAGAGCACUGUUUCGGCAAGGGGGUCAUCCCGACUUACCAACCCGAUGCAAACUGCGAAUACCGGAGAAUGUUAUCACGGGAGACAUACGGCGGGUGCUAACGUCCGUCGUGAAGAGGGAAACAACCCAGACCGCCAGCUAAGGUCCCAAAGUCAUGGUUAAGUGGGAAACGAUGUGGGAAGGCCCAGACAGCCAGGAUGUUGGCUUAGAAGCAGCCAUCAUUUAAAGAAAGCGUAAUAGCUCACUGGUCGAGUCGGCCUGCGCGGAAGAUGUAACGGGGCUAAACCAUGCACCGAAGCUGCGGCAGCGACACUGUGUGUUGUUGGGUAGGGGAGCGUUCUGUAAGCCUGUGAAGGUGUACUGUGAGGUAUGCUGGAGGUAUCAGAAGUGCGAAUGCUGACAUAAGUAACGAUAAAGC